This 96-nucleotide microRNA precursor is filed under the name Podarcis lilfordi (Lilford's wall lizard). Lineage: Eukaryota; Metazoa; Chordata; Lepidosauria; Squamata; Lacertidae. The record is from RNAcentral.
UCCCCAGAUGUUGUUGGACUACAACUCCCAUCAUCCCUGAGCUCUGGUCUUGCUAGCUAGGGGUGAUGGGAGUUGUAGUUCAACAACAUCUGGGGA